Molecule: long non-coding RNA, 692 nt
Organism: Bos taurus (domestic cattle)
Lineage: Eukaryota; Metazoa; Chordata; Mammalia; Artiodactyla; Bovidae
Source: Ensembl
GCAUAGCCGAUUAACAGUGUUGUGAUAGUUUCAGGUGAACAGCGAAGGGACUCAGACAAGGCAAAUUCUUAACCACUGGACUACCGGGGACAUCCUUCUCUCAUGUUUAGGAAACUGAUGUUCAGAAAGCCUCAGGGACUCGCCAAAGGCUGAAAUCCAACUGAAAGGAGAACAUAUCUUGUAUGUGGGGAGAGGACUUCUGCCAGCCAGAGCGGUGGAGCCAGGCACACUUGCAGAUGCCUCCAGAAAGCCUUGUUUUUGUCUAGAAACCAAGAAGUGCUUUAAAAAUCCAGCUUGUAGCUUUAAUUGGCUACUUGCACACCUGACACUUGAGCACUCUGUCCCAGCUAGACUGGGAUCCUGACAAGGAGACCCCGCCGCCGCCGCCGCCAAGUCGUUUCAGUCGUGUCCGACUCUGUGCGACCCCACGGACUGCAGCCUACCAGGCUUCUCCGUCCAUGGGAUUCUCCAGGCAAGAACACUGGAGUGGGUUGCCAUUUCCUUCUCCAAGGAGACCCCAGCUUAUGCCAAAUCUUCACCAGGGAUUGAACUCAUGCUUCCUAUAUUGGGAACAUAGAGUCUUAAUCACUGGACCACCGGGGAAGUCUGACACAUUGAUUGCAGUCUUUUGAAAGACCCUGAGGCAGAGCUCCUGGUGCACAGAAAUUGUGAGAUGAUAUAUAAUAUAGUAA